This 68-nucleotide transfer RNA is filed under the name Bos taurus (domestic cattle). It matches the Rfam family "tRNA". Rfam says of the family: Transfer RNA (tRNA) molecules are approximately 80 nucleotides in length. The record is from Rfam by way of RNAcentral. RNAcentral also lists the same sequence under 3 other names. Lineage: Eukaryota; Metazoa; Chordata; Mammalia; Artiodactyla; Bovidae.
UCCCUGGUGGUCUAGUCGUUAAGACUCUGCACUUUCAAUGCAGGGGGUGUGGGUUUGAUCCCAGGGAA